UACGUAGGGUGCGAGCGUUAAUCGGAAUUACUGGGCGUAAAGCGUGCGCAGGCGGUUUUGUAAGCCCGGUGUGAAAUCCCCGGGCUUAACCUGGGAAUGGCAUUUGGGACUGCAAGGCUGGAGUGCGGCAGAGGAGACUGGAAUUCCUGGUGUAGCAGUGAAAUGCGUAGAUAUCAGGAGGAACACCGAUGGCGAAGGCAGGUCUCUGGGCUGACACUGACGCUCAUGCACGAAAGCGUGGGGAGCAAACAGG
RNAcentral lists this ribosomal RNA (253 nucleotides) under uncultured bacterium. RNAcentral describes it as "partial 16S ribosomal RNA". It matches the Rfam family "Bacterial small subunit ribosomal RNA", at positions 524 to 776 of the family's 1533-position model. The record is from RNAcentral.